CACGUAGGGCGCAAGCGUUGUCCGGAAUUAUUGGGCGUAAAGAGCUCGUAGGCGGUCUGUUGCGUCCGCUGUGAAAACUCGAGGCUCAACCUCGAGAUGUCGGCGGAAACCAUCUGGCUAGAGUCCGGAAGAGGAGAGUGGAAUUCCUGGUGUAGCGGUGAAAUGCGCAGAUAUCAGGAAGAACACCCGUGGCGAAGGCGGCUCUCUGGGACGGUACUGACGCUGAGACGCGAAAGCGUGGGGAGCGAACAGG
RNAcentral lists this ribosomal RNA (253 nucleotides) under uncultured bacterium. RNAcentral describes it as "partial 16S ribosomal RNA". It matches the Rfam family "Bacterial small subunit ribosomal RNA", at positions 524 to 776 of the family's 1533-position model. The record is from RNAcentral.